This 399-nucleotide ribosomal RNA is filed under the name Umbelopsis sp. I GK-2010. RNAcentral describes it as "eukaryotic LSU rRNA". The stretch from base 37 to 190 matches the Rfam family "5.8S ribosomal RNA". Lineage: Eukaryota; Fungi; Mucoromycota; Umbelopsidomycetes; Umbelopsidales; Umbelopsidaceae. The record is from RNAcentral.
ACAACUAAACAAUGAUUUUAAUAAUCUGUUUAAAACAACUUUCAACAACGGAUCUCUUGGUUCUCGCAUCGAUGAAGAACGCAGCGAAAUGCGAUACGUAAUGUGAAUUGCAGAAUUCAGUGAAUCAUCGAAUCUUUGAACGCACAUUGCACUCCUUGGUAUUCCGAGGAGUAUGCCUGUUUCAGUAUCAUGAGCACUCUCACACCUAACCUUUGGGUUUUGUUGUGGAAUUGGGAUGCGCCGAUUUCAAUAGUCGGCACUCCUAAAAUGUAGUUCUUGGCUGUUUCCUACUACAGCAGUUUGGCCUAAUAGUUUUGACUUUUGUCAAAUCUUUGGCUACAUUUGCUUCUGGAAAUCAGUCUUGAUAAUACAGAAAACUCAUUCAAACUUGAUCGAAUC